AUUAAAGUUAAUUUGAGAACGUUAGUAACACUAACUACCAACUGUUAGCAGAAUUGAGCUUAAUUACCCUGAAGGCAUCGUAUUUAAUUCAAUAAAGUGCCGCAGUUUCUUAAGAAUAUUGUGCAUGCAUUUGUUUAUUCUGCAUGUCAUUCAUUAAAAUGUAAGAGCUAAGGCUUUUUCUUAUCACUUCCUAUGUGUUAUUUGAGGUAUUCCAGGGCUUCUGGUUUUAUGAAGAAAUGACAUUCCUAAAAGUGAUUCUAGUCAGUUUCAAAGUUGGACAUUAUUCUAGUGAAAAUUAGUCCUUUAGGCUAAUUAGUUGGAAUUUGUUUUUGUGUAAUUGCAACUUCCAUUAUUGGAUUCCUCAUUCAUGGUUCCUAUUUUCUGUAGCAUUGUACGCUACUUAGCAGCAACUGUUGGAAUGCACAAUUUGAUUUUCAGUGCGUGACUUGAAUUUUUUUGUGCACCAGCUCAGCUGAAGACGUUCCAUCAGUUGGACGUGUUUAUUUCCCAUUGACUAGUUGCCAUUUACAAGUUCCCAUUGGACUACUUGACCAGUUGGACUUCCUUAUUGAACUAUACUCAGUUUUUGCAGUGUUCACUUUUAAAAUUUUUAAAUUUCCUAUUUUUGCUGGUUUGCAUGCAUUCUAUGAUAUUUGAUGCAAGUUAGCAAAUAUCAUUCCGUUACUCUUUGAACAGAUGAAUCUCUAUAUGACAUGGAUGCAACGAAUCAUUGCAUAUAAUGAGCUAAACAAACUGUUCCACCACUUACAUCAGCAAGCACAAAUAUGUGUGUACUGUGAAUCAUGGCAAAAUGAUUACUUUUCCCGACGUUGAAGCAAGUCUCUUUCAGUGAUGUUCAAAUAUAUUCAGCAUACCAUCAAAAUGCAGUUCGAGACACCAUUUGUUCCAACCCUUACUACAAUAGUUUUGUUAAAGUGACUCUCUUACUCGAGCUUGCUUUAAAAUUUUUUCCUGUUGAAAAUGGGAAUGCACUGCAUUCCUUUGCAACCUUCUUCACCUUCUUAUUUACAUUUCUCAUCUUGAAUCAGUGAGCUAUGUGAUCCUAAUGCACGAAUCUCAUUGUGCAGCUUCCAAAAACGACGGACUUUUAGCUGCAAAGCAAGCUACAUUACACUUGCCUGUACAAGCAGAUGUGAUGCGACAUGUGCAUGGCACGAUUUUCAUGUAAAGUGUUACAUGGCAUGUAUUGUUAAACACUCUCUAUACUGACAGCCAUGACUUGAUUUUCUAUCUACAUUUUUCUUGGAUCGAUUCUAGGUUCUACAUCUAGAUCGAUUCCACAUUUGUGAUGUAAUGUUUGCCUGGUGAUGAGCAUCCUGUGGUGAAGUGUGAUACCGAGAGUACAAGGGUUUAGAAGAGUAAAGAAGAAAUAGAAAUUGCAGCUUUAUUUUAAUUAUUAGUCUUGUCAAAUGACUUUCUACAUGGUUUCAACUUUUGAGAGUAACUGUGGUUUAGUGCACUUCAGUCAGAGCACAUGCGACCAUUGAAUUCCCUGGAAGAAGAAAUUUGAAUGUACAGUUCAGCAUCGAUGUAAUGAGUUCGGAUAUAGCGAAUCACUGUUUAUAACGAAGGAAACAAGAAAUAGGGUUGUCAUCACUACAGUGUUAGGAAUAUAACCUUACAAUGAGUUCUUGGACAUAGUGAAGUUACUUUCAUGCAAUACGCGACUUCGUUAGGACAAAGUUUUGCUGUAUUGAUCUUAAGCUCUUAACUAUUUCAUUACGUUGUAUUCAAUGUCGCUAUAAAAAGAAUAAUUGAUCAGUAGUGUAGUCAGUUUUUAAUGAUGAAGGCUGAUGCAGGUUUAGUUCUUAAAAUGCUAAAGCAGUGAAGAGCUCAGCUAGGCUGUGUGUGUGUUUAUGAAUGAAAAAUGCCGUACUCAAUUGUAGUGAGCAAUGUACAUAAGAACUGUAGGAGAACUGAGUGUGAGUGUAAAACAGCUUCUUUCUUCGUUGCAGCUGCCCAGGAAAAAAAUAGUGUUUGUGUGAUUCUCUCGUCUUAAAAAAUGUGCUGGCACAAUUUGUGAAUGGUAACGCAAAUCUUUUUGUUCCAUUGUACAUAAAGUGUUGUAGUUGCGUGCAGUGUAAUUUGCCUUGUGAUCUAGCCCUUGUAUGUGCAAUUUUUAUGUCGCAGUGACCAUGACGUGCAAUCUUGUCAUGGAAGCUGUUCUUUUUUUGUGCCAUUACUGCUAUGAAACGUGCAGUUUUCCCGGUGGCGUAGGCGGCAAUCGAUUUGAAAGAAAGAAGUCGGAAGACUUGCAGUGCAGUAACGCACAGGCAUGACGAAGUCUAGUCGUCUCGACGUGCCAGAUUUUGUACAUAUUUUGUACGCAUGCUCUCAAUGCGCAAAUUUUGCAAGGAAAAGCCGGGAGUAGAGGCACCGUCGUGAAGGUGUCAAAUGAGGCAUCGUUGUUGCAAGAACAAUCCUUAGCAUUGAUAGUAAAGACUCCUUGCGGUAGUGGAGUUUGGAUAACAAGCAAAUUGUAUUGAGCACUGGUGACUACCGGGACAGUCAGGGCAAUUACUUAUAUAUGCUGUAGCUAUUGGAGGACCUCUUCUGUCUUCAUUCAUUGCAAGUAUGUUCACGAGGUUGAUGAGCACCAGCGUUUGGCGGAUAAUGUAAUGCGUGCGGGAGAUACAUCACGCUGGCGAGAAAUGUAGCCUGUCAUUGUAACAGUACCUGCUUGAAUGAAAGUGUAGCAUUGUCUAUGUAUCGUUGCCUCACUAAUGCCCUACAGCACUGUGAAAAGCUCUGAGGUGCAUCAGCCAAUCGGGACAGAGAUCCAAGAAAUGCCUCUCCACUGUUCACAACUGAUCAUCCUCUUUGCGAAGCCAGCUGAGAAGUAUCGUGGUGAAACGCAGUGGAGUGUAGCAAACAAGCUGUCCACUUCUUGUCCCAAGAUUACUGGGCGGUUAUUGCUCACACUCGAUUGGCUUAUAUGUGCCCCGUAACCUUUGUUGCAGUGCAUGGAAUUAGCGAGAUGAGAUACGAAGAUGUCACAGAAAUAGAUGUGCUGAUAUUACUGAGGUAGUGAUCGUCUUAUGCGGGAGAGACGAAAGCGGAGUCCUCCAGAAGAGGCCCUUGUGGCUAUGUGGUGGGGUGAGAUGAAGAUAACGACUUUGACAACGAUUAAGGUGACGAUUUGUACAUUGAAUUGUGCGUCGCUUAGAUUUUGUGCUUGUAGGAGCGAAAUUCGAAGGUGUAGUGUCCUGUGAAACGUGGGGAAGUUGGUGUGUUGGGAGAAAUAGUGCAAAAAAAAAAAGAAAAGAGUAGUGUUGUGCAGCCUAGUGAUGAACUCAAGAAGUACAAGUUUACAUGUAAGGAAAUUAUUUUUUUCUUCCUUUUUUUUAUUUUCUAUUCAGAGACUUUCGUGAUUCUAGUCAUUCAGAUGUAGUUGACUUCAUGGCAAAACCUUAAACACAGUCCUGUGUUGGUACAGGGCCAUUUUUUUUUUCCACCUCUUGUUUUUUCACGGAGUGGUGGUAGAUGCAAGCGUAUUGCAUUAGGGUAUCUUUUAUGUCAUAACUAGUCAUUACUACUGAAACGAAGUCAAGAAAAAUCAAAAGUGGCACUCUUUUAUUGCAUUGAACUUUUGCUGUAGAGGCAGCAUCUUUCAAUGCCUUUUUUUUAUGUUUUUUAUCCACUUUCUUAACACUGGAGAUUACCCGGUCAAGUGUGCUAGAUAGGCUCUCGGUAUUAACCGCAACACUUGGUACAUUGCAGUCACCACCUUCUGUUCAGUGAGAUGCUGCAGAGACCUCAAAGAGAUUUUACUUCCCCAUACACAAUGAAAUCAAAAUAGUUCAUUGUUGAGAGCAGUUAGUUCCGUUUGACGUGCUUGAAGCUUUUAUGUUGUUUGGUGUUGUCCUGUUGUCUGUGUCGCUCAUACUUUUGCUCUCAAAGAAGAGAUUGCUUUUUCUGAUCAUCAUUUUAUCAGUGGCGGCAGAAACAGUGCCAUACAGUUUAAUGGCGGUAUUUCUAAGGAAUUCAAACUUUAAGAAACCCUGUUGUUAAAAAAAAUAUAGUCGUACCGUUCUGGCUUGUUAUAGAAAAACCUUCUUAUACACACCCAGCCAUGUCUGAACAUGUGGUUAAUUCACAUGCAGUAUAUAUAUAAAAUAUAGUUUGAGAUGGCUUUCAACAACUCUUCGAAAUUCAUGUAUAAAUUGGGAAAAUAAUUCUAGAUCGAUGAGUAGUUUUUGUCUAUUGUUAAGCCUUUACUGCUUGCCCAGUUAUAAAACAAUGGGUUCUGAAUGACCACUAUUAAGUUAGUGUGGGGUAUAUGCAAAUUCUCCAAGUUUUUUUUUUAUAUUUGAGUUUGUUUACUGAAUAGAAUUACAUACUGAUACAAACCGGCUAAGAUACAAAAUAUGAGGUUUCUUAAUGUAAACCAUAUAGUGAGAUGUCCUAUAAUAUACAUGAGAAAACUGACAGGCUAAAACAGAAGCAAUCGUUCUUUUCUCUGAACAUUUAACCAGCUUUUUUUUUUUUGACAUACACAACAUGAUGAUGGUGUUCGCAUCUCCCUCUCUACGCACAUUGACCAUUUCAGUGUAAAACAUUCUUUCAUAAUUUUAUCCCACGACACUUUUUAUUGCUGCUUGUGCAAUGUAUCUGCCUGCCGUGUACAUCUGCAUAUUUGUAACAGCGGUGUGUACACAUCCGCAGAGUGAUCAUGUGCCUCAGCAUGUGCAUAUAUGUACAGCUAUGCAUAUACAGGAAUAAAGGUUAUGAUAAAGCUCUGA
This is a long non-coding RNA of Rhipicephalus microplus (southern cattle tick), 4763 nucleotides long. The record is from RefSeq and is a predicted model, not a curated record. NCBI's taxonomy places the organism in Eukaryota, Metazoa, Arthropoda, Arachnida, Ixodida, Ixodidae.